Molecule: ribosomal RNA, 484 nt
Filed under: Meyerozyma guilliermondii
Lineage: Eukaryota; Fungi; Ascomycota; Pichiomycetes; Serinales; Debaryomycetaceae
Description: partial large subunit ribosomal RNA
Rfam family: Eukaryotic large subunit ribosomal RNA
Source: RNAcentral
GCCAUUGCCUUAGUAGCGGCGAGUGAAGCGGCAAAAGCUCAAAUUUGAAAUCUGGCGCCUUCGGUGUCCGAGUUGUAAUUUGAAGAUUGUAACCUUGGGGUUGGCUCUUGUCUAUGUUUCUUGGAACAGGACGUCACAGAGGGUGAGAAUCCCGUGCGAUGAGAUGCCCAAUUCUAUGUAAGGUGCUUUCGAAGAGUCGAGUUGUUUGGGAAUGCAGCUCUAAGUGGGUGGUAAAUUCCAUCUAAAGCUAAAUAUUGGCGAGAGACCGAUAGCGAACAAGUACAGUGAUGGAAAGUGAAAAGAACAUUGAAAAGAGAGUGAAAAAGUACGUGAAAUUGUUGAAAGGGAAGGGUUUGAGAUCAGACUCGAUAUUUUGUGAGCCUUGCCUUCGUGGCGGGGUGACCCGCAGCUUAUCGGGCCAGCAUCGGUUUGGGCGGUAGGAUAAUGGCGUAGGAAUGUGACUUUACUUCGGUGAAGUGUUAUA